RNAcentral lists this ribosomal RNA (494 nucleotides) under uncultured bacterium. RNAcentral describes it as "partial 16S ribosomal RNA". It matches the Rfam family "Bacterial small subunit ribosomal RNA", at positions 30 to 507 of the family's 1533-position model. The record is from RNAcentral.
AUUGAACGCUGGCGGCAUGCUUUACACAUGCAAGUCGAACGGCAGCGGGGAGGAGUUUGCCUCCCUGCCGGCGAGUGGCGAACGGGUGAGUAAUAUAGCGGAACGUGUCGUGAAGAGGGGGUAAAUCACCCGAAAGGGUGCUUAAUACCGCAUAAAUACUGAGGCAGAUAGCUGGGGACUUAGGAAUAGUUCUAGUGCUAUUUGUGCGGCCGGUGUCGGAUUAGUAAGUUGGUGAGGUAAAGGCUGACCAAGGCGAAGAUGUGUAGUCGGUCUGAGAGGAUGAUCCGCCACACUGGAACUGAGACACGGCCCAGACUCCUACGGGAGGCAGCAGUAGGGAAUUUUGGGCAAUGGGGGCAACCCUGAUCCAGCCAUGCCGCGUGUAUGAAGAAGGCCUUAGGGUUGUAAAGUUCUGUUGUUAGGGAAGAAAAGUCGGCUGUGAAUAAUGGCUGGUACUGACGGUACCUAAAGAGUAAGCACCGGCUAACUACGUG